RNAcentral lists this ribosomal RNA (190 nucleotides) under uncultured Glomeromycotina. Its description in RNAcentral is "partial 18S ribosomal RNA". It matches the Rfam family "Eukaryotic small subunit ribosomal RNA", at positions 686 to 872 of the family's 1831-position model. The record is from RNAcentral. Lineage: Eukaryota; Fungi; Glomeromycota.
GGUCUCACUGAUUCCUCCUUCCUGAUGAACCGUAAUGCCAUUAAUUUGGUGUUGCGGGGAAUUUGGACUGUUACUUUGAAAAAAUUAGAGUGUUUAAAGCAAGCUAACGCUUGAAUACAUUAGCAUGGAAUAAUAGAAUAGGACGGCAUGGUUCUAUUUUGUUGGUUUCUAGGAUCACCGUAAUGAUUAA